GACAAAUUUUUGUAGGUCUUCUAAAUCUAUUUUGGGGGUAGCCCUGUUUGUUU
RNAcentral lists this transfer RNA (53 nucleotides) under Toxocara malaysiensis. RNAcentral describes it as "transfer RNA-Ser". Lineage: Eukaryota; Metazoa; Nematoda; Chromadorea; Rhabditida; Toxocaridae. The record is from RNAcentral.